Long non-coding RNA from Lagopus muta (rock ptarmigan), 2071 nucleotides. RefSeq lists it as uncharacterized. The transcript has 2 exons. Lineage: Eukaryota; Metazoa; Chordata; Aves; Galliformes; Phasianidae. The record is from RefSeq and is a predicted model, not a curated record.
AAAAGAAGAAAAAAAAAGAUGUUUUUAUACACUGAAUAAUAAUAUUCAAUGUAGUUUUAGAAUAAAUAAUUCGAAAUGAAUUCUACAGCAUUUUGAAUAAGAGAAUAAAAACAGUUGGCAAUCUGAAACAAACAAAACAAAAUGCAGCAAUCAUCUCUUUACUACUUCUGCAUUUGAAGGGUAUUAAAAACAAAUGCAAGAGCUAAACGAAGACACGUGGCAAUGAUUUAAACAGGACAUGAGCAUCAGGUGAUUUAAGAUAACAAUUAAUGACUGAAAGGUGACAAGGAAUUCUAAUCAGCUUUUCCCAAGCUCCAAAAACAACAACUGACUGUCAAAGAUGAUAAAAUGGUCAGGAGUAAACAAAGGUAAAAUACUGUAAGAAUUGAAUCCAUUGAAACAGAUAGAUCUUGAAAAGCAUGAAAAGAAAUCUAUGAUAUUUUGUACUAGGCUCUAGUAUUAAACUAGUUUUACAACUGAAUUGGUGGAACUGUUACAAUCUUAAGGCAAAUGCUUUCGAGUGCAUGAGACAUUUCAUCUGUUAGGCAGGAUAAAAGUCUGAACAAUCACAGUAGUUUUUUUCAGGAAUGAAAGCUGUUGAUUUCCAUCAGUUGAUCCUUCAUGUUUUUGAGUGGGCACAAAGAAGCAGAGCUCAGAGGCCAUCAAAAGAAUCUUUGUUAUUUGUAGAAGAGGACUAGAUCCCUUCAGAUGCAAGGAGCAUUUACUAACUACGAAGGCUAAAGACUAAAUCAUCCUUAAGACAGAGCUCAUGGGGGAAAAAGAAAACAAAAAUAAUUACAGCGGUGCUGCUUCCUUCAAGCAGAUUUCACUGCAAGAGGAACAUAGAGUAAAACUAUGAGACACCAUGUGGAGCUGGCAAUAAUUUCCAGGAAGAACCUGUAGACAGCAGCCACAUCUGACUUAGACAAUGAGGAUGGAAUGAGAACUGCUUAACUCAGGCCUUUUAAACCACAACUACAUCCUCCCAAAAUUCCAGUACUGGAACUGUAUCUGCUAACCCACACACAGCUACCUGCUGAAACGCAACCAACACACUUUUUUUGGAAGCUCUUCUCAUUGAAAAUGAAAGCCUAUAUGUCCAUCAGUGUAUGCUGAAGAUAAUCUAGAAGUACUACAGCUUACAGCCACAGUUUCAAGAACAGUUGGUCUGGCCCAUUUCAAAACUUAGUUCUGCUAAAUAAUUGGAGCAUGGUCUUCAGCAACACCUGCAUAGGAGGUGCCAAGGAAAUAGUAAUUCCAUUAUUCAUUAGAAACGUUUGUACUGUUCAGUGCUCAAAAAAAGCAAGUAGAACUCCCUAUAAACAAAUGGCAGCCCUGCUUUCUCACAUUCAUUUAUCUGCCUAAACAGCACUUCCUUCACCACAAACCAUGGCUUUUGCCCUCUUCCCACUGAAGUAAACUGUGAUAAUAACUGGCUGUAACUGGCUGCAUCUGGGCAGAUUGGCAAGAUGGUGAGUUCCUGUUUUACUGUCAUGUAUUAUAUUCAAACGGGUAAUUUAUUAUUAUUAUUAUUUUUAUUACAGUUAAUCCAAAUUCAUUCAUGAGAAACUGCUGUCUUCCCAUAAUUGUAUAACAGAACAUCCAGGAAAAAAAAAAAAAAAAGCACAAAAAUAGCAUGAAUGGGACAAGUGAGGCACAUGAAUAAUGACCUUCAAAUUAGGAAGGGAGGGGUGGGUGUACCCUGGCAAAGUCCUUCAAGCCAACUUCAGUGCAGCAGCACUUUCCCGAUUUUAGGAGAUAUUAUUUGGACCUACAAACUUUUAUACAACAUCAAAGAGCUUUACUUGCCAAAGCAAAAACACUGAACAGAUACUGCAAGCACUAAAUAUUGUCAAAAAUCAUCAAAAAUGGCGUUCUGAUAGAAGCAUCACAAACUGCUAGCAAUGCAGGUCAGGUGCAAGCAAAAGAGAAUGUUACUGCUUGUGUUGGUUUCUUCCCUCCUGCAAAGUUUACACAGCCAUGGAAAUAAAAGCUAGGUCAAAAGAGCAUUUUUACUUCAUUCUUCUGAGUUGUAAUACUCCGAAUAGAUGCUUAAGAGCAACAGGUUACA